This is a long non-coding RNA of Perca fluviatilis (European perch), 4115 nucleotides long. RefSeq lists it as uncharacterized. The transcript has 4 exons. NCBI's taxonomy places the organism in Eukaryota, Metazoa, Chordata, Actinopteri, Perciformes, Percidae. The record is from RefSeq and is a predicted model, not a curated record.
CCCAGAGGAACAGACAGUUUGGCAUGAAUUCAGUUAUUUCCAAACAAAACCUCACGUUAUUUUAUGCUAUACAUGUUCAAUAAAGACUAAUGUAUUAAAUAUGUAUUCAUUAUAAUUAUAUUUAUAGUUAUUUAAGAGAUGAUUAAGAUAUUUUGAUACUUAAGUAAUAGCUUACAACAGGCCAUAGUAUGUUGUGAUAAAGGCACAACAUAUAGCAGGGCAGAUAAUGUUAGCCUAGCACAGACUUUUUGCACAGACUAUUUCUUUUACAUAAAGCUAAUGAAAAGGCACACAAUAACAAAAACUAACUUAACAAUCGAGACAGAACUAGACAAGCAACUAACUACUGGCGGCAGUGGUAGAAGAGCAACUCCUGUUUUCUGCUAGAUUAAAAUUGCUGUGUUUAUCAAUGAAGAAGGCUUUUAAGAGAGCAUAGACAACAACUUCAAUUCCUUUUAGUAAAGGGCUGUCUGAUGGCAAAAUAAAGCGGCGAAAAAAUUCUAAAUAUAUACAGUAUAUAGAUACUUCGCCAACCAACUCUGUUUCAUGGCAGUGUGUGUGCAGAUGAACAGCUUUUGUCCGUUGCACCAGCUAUCAGUUUGUGUAAUGUUGUAUCUCAAACUUGGAGUGAUACUUGUUGUUCAAAGGAAUUCUAAUUAUAGCUUUUGUAUGUGGUUGUUAUUAUAUCACUGUUAUGAACCAGAACAAAUCAGUUUGCUUGAUUUGAGCAACCUUUUUAUAUUAUGGUUUUGAUAGUUUAGUUAUGCCAUCUCAUUGCUGGACUACCAUACCUGAUAUUCAAGCUCAUUUGAAGGUUUGGUGCAGUUCAGCUUUAUUGCUUGCCAUCCAUUCUCCCUUUUUUCCCCACCAUGGAUACUUCUGAUGUUGCUUCAGAUCUGCAUCUUAUCCCUACAUUUCAUUUACAUAUAGAUAAUAUAGUAUAAGCUAACAAUGAUGAAUACAUUGUUACUUUUGUAAUUAACUUUAAAAAAGCUGUAAGGCCUAAAGAGAACUAUGAAUACAAUUCUGAAAACUUUAAGCUCAUGUAUUAAUAACAAUACUCCAAACCAUAUAAUUUCUAUGGUUCAGACUGCUUAAAGCUGCUUACACAUAAAAGCCGGCAAAAUCGCUCUGCGCGGGCCAAUCCAUUGAGAGCAGUGCCGCCCAACUAGGCACUGCGCUACCCCUGGCAUCAUGCACCUCUCAGAAUUGCCGAAUUGCUCGCUUGCUCUCAGCACAAUUACAUUUUUUUCACUCAAAUUCUAAAUCAAACAGGACAUCUUAAAGGCCCCUUUCAGUGUAUUUUGACAUAUUUAUGGUAUUUCAUAUUUUUUGAGUCAUUUUCAUGACAAUUUUGAGUAACAAGUGAGAGGCAGUUUCUGUGUUGUUCUAAUAAUUGUCUCAUUUGUGGUCUGAUAAACACUGACUUUAUCAAAUUGGAAGUUUCUAAUAUAUUAUAGAAGAGUUUAGACCAAAGAUUGGCGACGAGACACAACUGUUUUAGAACAUUGCAGUUUCAGCAGUCUAAACUGGCUCAUCUCAGCUGGACACAAACCGGCUAAUGGUGUUGCUGCGACUCAGCUGGUCAAGUCUCCAGAGGCUGGUUUUAAAACGUUAGAGACGUCUUCUGUUUCAACAGAAGUCAGCUGGUUGAGUGAGCUUACAAACUAUAGAAAUAAAAUGAUCCAUAAUGCAUUUAUUUCUGUUACAAACUCUCAGCUGGUGGAAAUGGCAGUUUUAGACAGUGGCUCAACGAGCGCUGCAACCAGGGUUUGUGGUGGAGCGAGUUAGAGAGAGAUUGAAGAGAGGGAGCUGCGUUAGAACAAAGUUGAGAAUCAGAGAACUACAAUAUAUGAAAUAUAUUUUGAUGAAUGUUAUGAACAUGUAAGAUAAAAAUAUGUAUAUUUAUUAUUAAUUAAUUUUGUAUUGAUGGGGAGAAAAAUUUAUUAAUUUAGUAUAAAAACAACCCAAUAAUAAUGAAGAAAUUAAUUUCAAAUAAUGCCAAAUAUUUGUCUGCUUAUAUGCUAAAAACUUUCAGUGUUUGUAGCGUAUGGUUUAAAUUGUAGUCUUAAAUUGAGCUAAUGUUACCACAUUUAAAAGAAAACACUGUUACACACAAUCUGUCAUGUUCAAGUCCCCAUCCUGACCACGCCCACCCCCCACUCUGGCCAUGCCUUUACCAUGUGGCAAACAUGAGGUGUGUUUGCCUGCGUGUCCAGGCCCUCCCCUUACAUUAGGUGAGUUUGGCGUGGUGUGAACUCAAAUAUCAACUGAACGGAUAAGAGCACGCUGACAUGCACAAGCAUCUAUACCAGGGGUGGCCAACCAGUUCAGAAUAAAGAGCCACAAUAAAACACGCACCAGCAGCAAAAAGCCACACAACACAUGCAGGUCCACAUUACAACAGCAACCAUGACUUCCAUAUCUAAUGAAAGUCAUAAUACAUAGCAGUUUUCAUAGUUUUUUUUUUCUUACUUAGAUGGACUCAGUGGGAAACCUGACAGUCUUUGUUACCCACAAUCCUUUUUAGGUCUGAUUGUACUCGGUUGUGGCCACUCUUUCACUCAUUUGUCACUAGAGGGGCUUUCAAACAAUCUGACUCAGCAGUGAAAGGGUUAAUAUUGAGGAAGGUGAUCUGGGGCUGCUUUGUUUUCCUCAGGCUGCAGAAUCUGUCCAUAAAAAAACUCUGCUGCGUUAUUUUUUAUUUUAAAAUAAUUGUCAGAUGCAUUCAAGUGCUUUUUUUUAACCAAUCUGAAAUGUUUCAAAAAGUUUAAAAAAAAAAAAAAUCCACCAAUAACACAGCCACACAGUAAGAGCCUCAAAGGAGAAGGCACAGAGCCGCAUACGGCUCAAGAGCCACAGGUUCGCCACCCCUGAUCUAUACAGAUAUUUUGAUGAAUGUUAUGAACAUGUAAGAUAAAAAUAUUUAUUAUAAUUAUUAUUAAUUUUUCCUAAUGAGGAAAAAUGUAUCCAUUUAGUAUGUACACUUGUCAUUGGCUUAAUUUUGAGGAAAAAAACUAACUAAUAAUAAAUUAAAAAUUAAAAAAUAAUUAUUUUUAUUUCAAGUUAAGCCAAAAGCAUUCGUCUGCUUAUAUGCUGAAAGGUUUCAGGGUUCGUUUGGUUUCGAUCGUUUUCUCAAAUUGAGCUACUGACGCCGUUUAAAAGAAAACACUGUUACACACGUAUGUCAUGUUCAAGUCCCCAUCCCGACCACGCCCAUCCCCCACUCUGGCCAUGUGGCCAGUGUGUAUACCGGAGUCCCCAUGGUGUCCAGCCCCUCCCCUCACGUAAGCUGUGAACUCUGCGUCAGAUCUUCACUGCAUGGACGAGAGCAGGCUGGAGUCAUGGAUCAGGGAGAGAUGGAAGAAGAUUUGACAACCAUUCAUGGUCACCGUGACAGCCCUUUAAAUUCUUCAGGAAAUGGACCAGAGCUCUUCUGACUCUACAGUGAUCCUUGAACUAAGUUCCGUCCCUGAAAAGGAGGACAUAAGUGUUCCUGAACUCAAGAGAGCAGAAAGUGUAUUUGUUCAUCAACAAUGGCGAGAAAGAAGUGGAGCACCGAGGAGGUCCAGGCUGUGGAGAGCAAUCUCAUGGACAACAUCAACUCUGGCAGGGUUCCUGGUAAAGCCCAGUGUGAAGCAUCUAUCAAGGGAUCCUCAGAGGUGCUUAGGGGAAGGAGCUGGCAGGCAGUUAAGUUCUAUGUGAAGAACCGCAUUGAUACUUUAAAGCGUCUAGAAAAUAACCAAUGGAAAUCUAAAUUGUAAUCACUGAACAUAAUUCUUUUUUGCCAUCUAAGUACUUCUACAAUCCCACAACUAGGUACAGCGCUUACUUGAAUUCAGCUCAUAUCUGAGCAUGCAACGACAUUUUAUUAAGAUUGUUAAAGCUCUUUUGUUUUCAAAUUUAAUAUGUCAACAUGCUCUGACUAUUAUUUCAUUGAGUGAUGUCAUUUACAUUUUUAUCCUAAAGAACAUUGUGGUAGUCGGUCAUGGGUGGUUGGAGAAAUGGAGGUAGAGAGAGACACAGGUUGUAGAGAGAGUGAAAGGUUUGUAGAGAGAGACAGGUUUGCAGGGAGAGAGAGACAGGUAUGUAGGAAAUGAGAGAGACAGGUAUGU